Non-coding RNA from Coturnix japonica (Japanese quail), 691 nucleotides. The record is from RefSeq and is a predicted model, not a curated record. NCBI's taxonomy places the organism in Eukaryota, Metazoa, Chordata, Aves, Galliformes, Phasianidae.
UUUCUGAGCAAUAAGGAAAAGGAAGACGGUCUGGGCCAGGAGGACGUUGAUGGAGACAGUGCACUUCUGUCCACCCGCUGACAAAGCAAAGGAGCUAGGAUACCUUUGGCAGGCAGAAAGUAGACCAGCACAGCCAUGGAAGAGAUGAGGACGCAGGGCACGAUGAUGUUGAUGAUGUAGAAGAGCGGCUUGCGCUGGAUGAUGAGGUAGAAGAUCACCUGCUGGUACUGGGUGUCAUCUGGGGUGAAGCGCUCUGAAUUGAUGAUCUUCCGUGCGGGGCGGUGCUUGAUGGCCCAUUCUCCAUUCUCUGCCAUGCAGUGAUGUCACCAUUUUAGUCCCCACGUCCCAGUGGCACCAGGUGGGAGGACGGGGCCGUGGCAACCUUGGGAAGCUGAGCACUGAGGGCUGCUCCAAAGUCCCCCUGGGAGCUACAGGAGGGGAUACUUGCAGCCAUAUGGGGAUGAGUUAUGUGCGGGGCUGGGAGUCCCCCAUCUCCCUGCCACCGGGCAGCCGUGGGGAAGCCGAGCGUGACGCUUUAUUAAGGCGCGUUGUUUUCCCCCGCUGUCUGCGGGAGCGAUAGAUUUUUCCCAAUCAAGAUCUCAGCUUGGGCCGGUAAUGAAAAAAUAAAUCUCGCUGCCCGAAAAGCAUUUUGUUCCUUCAAUAUGCAAUUAAAAUGUGAUGGAAAACGUCA